UUAAGAUUGGAGUCCCAUCUCUGUGUGUUCUGUAAGAGGCAGUCGUUUUCCUAGGCUUUAGGUAGCUUGUGACAGAACCAUAUUUACUCAGAAUGCAACAAAAAUUAAAAAGAGGAAACAGAGGCAUUAAAUCAAGAAAAGUAAUGAGUUUAUAAAGGCACUAAUAAAUUGCUAGGUUCCCAUUUCAUAUCUCCUUGCACUUUGCAUAAUUUCUCUAUAAAUGACUAGGAGGAGAUAGUGCAGGGUAGUAAAGGUGGCUCACUACUUGUAUUUAUUUCAGCAGCAUUCUGUAUGAACACAGCGCUUGAUGGGCAAAAGCUGAGUUCACAAGUUACGGUCCUCAGUAUGCAAAGCACACGGGGGGUGCGUUGUUCAAGCCGUGCUGUCGGGGAGGAUGCAGUGAGUGAUUUUUGGGAGAGCCGGAGCUCAGGGCGCUGGGCACCUGUGAGGGAGCAGGGGCCCACCUGCUUCCAGGUCUGGAUUGCAAAGCCGCCUCCUGACUGCGGCCAGUCUGCCCUCAGCGGUACGCCUGAGGCGGGGUUAUGUGAGCCGAAAGAAAGGAAUGCCGAGGGCUGGGAAGGGAGCCGUACUUCCCUCAGAAGUAAUAAAAAAAGGAAGGAAAGAGAUGUGAAGACAGGCCGGGCCGCCCGAGGGAAGGCGCUUUCCUUUUGCGCUCCCGCCCCGCCAGGUGGCGCCAUUGCGCCGCGGCGGCCCUGAGGGGCUGCGGGGCCGGGCGGGCUGCCCUGAGGGGCCGGGGCUGUUCUCCUGCCGGGGAAGGCAGGAAAAUGCCGAGCUCCGGGGCUUUGGCAGCCGGCUGGAAGCACGGACUGAACGACGAGUAAUGGCACCGCCCGACGCGUGCUGCUGUUGGGGGCGCAAAGAGCUGAGCUCGCUGUCGGGAGCUGCAGGGUCCGCCUCCGCGGGGAGCCGCGACUGCCUUGUAGGCUUUUGGAGCAGCGAGGGGAGGAAAAAACACUCAGGACUGUAAAUGCAGAGCGAAAACACAAUAAUAUCUUUCACCAUCAUCUUUUCUCCUCUUAGAGCUGCCCUCAGCUUUACUCAGCUGUCUCUCGGCGGCUGGAUGACCGGGGCCAGGGACUCGAGUUGAGGUACCUGUUCCUGAUGGCUCACGACACUUUUAUCAAGCUCCGUAGAAUUGUUUCUCCUUCAUGAGGCUUUUGAACAAAACUCUGUGUCCUGCUUCUCUACUAUCCAAAGCUGAGAAGAGACUACAGGCUGUGACCCCAAAAAGUCAGGAGCCAGGAGCUAGUAGGACAUUUUCAGGCAUUUAACCUGUGAAGUGCAACUGCUGGUGCAAUUUUACCUUUGGGGAUGCAGCUGUAAAGCAUUUGGUGAACACUGCCAGCAUGCCAGGAAAACUAUGGUUCAGGGAAAGCUUUCAUCAGAAGCAACUUUCUCUGUAUCUUCUAUUUGAAGGACACAAGAACAAAUCUUAGUAUGUCUUCUUACGUGGGUUUUAGCAUAGUUAAACCAAGACACGAUGAUGUUUGAAAACUUUUUUAAACUUGGGAAAAAGUUAAUACUUCAAGCUUUUUUAGUUUUUUAUUCUGUUUGUCUACUUUUUGCGGUUGACUUAUCUCUAUAAAAUCCUCACAGUGGUUUUAUAUUGGACAUUCAAGAGGCUGAUAUUUUUGCAGAUUGCAGGUUAGUUUCUUGUCAAUUUAAUGAUACCUGAAUAGAUGCAUAUGAAGCUCAGUACCCAGUUUGGUCAAGGUUUUCUGGAUAGCUGGGCACAUACCAUAUUUCAGGUUGUGUAAGAGGUUUUAAAUGAUAUAAUCUUGUUCUGUGAAUUUUGCGAGGUAAGCAUAAGACUGAGAAGUCUCACCUGGCUCCUAACAGCAGCUGAGCUGUAGUCUGGAGAGAUGAGCUUUCCUAUUUACAUUUUGUUCUGUGAGGAUUCUGGGGAAAUGUGUGUGUUUUAAAGCACUGUAGUUAACAUCACUUUGCUGUUGAACUGGAAAGCUCUGCGAACACAUCCAAAGCUUGUCUCUCUGCUGUGCCCUACUGUGCUUCUGAAUGCCUCAUUUAGCGCUUUCUGAGUUAUUUGGAAUUUAUGGGAGCAAUUCUUCAAAUAAUGCAUUCACAUCAAGAGCAGAUCUGAUGAUACCAAAUGUUCUUGAACAUUCAUGUUCUUAUAGUGGUACUAUUACCUAGGUGAAGCAAUCUUUCAAUUAAGACACAGUAUAGCAGUGUUAAUUUCUUAAGGCUUGUCCUUAAAGACAGUGACUACUGUAACGCACAUCAGACUGCAUAGGGUGAUUUCUGCCAGGAAAGAUGAUUUCCUCUAAGAAUCAACAAUUCUGAUCUUACAACCACAAAGUCUUAGGAAGGCUGAUAAAGAGCUCAUCUCAUAACUUCUGACCAAUGUAAGAUCUACCUGUUAUUACUUGCUAAAUAAAAAUACUAAUAUUUUAUUGCACUGAGAAUCUUAUUAUAAGUGUAUAUAAAGUUUGUUAGUGUCUCUAUUCUUGUAGCAAUAAUUUUUCACCUGUGUAUCAUAGUUCUAUAUGGAAUUUAAAGGCUAUAUAGGCCACAUACCUCUCAUUAUCUUAGGUUUUGGCUAUAAAUACCCUUAAGAAGUCAAAGUUAGAAGCCUGAAAGUUGAAGGUGAGGUGUAUAUGGGGAUAUCAAGCAUGGCAAUGCAUACCUUGUUAGUCAAGGUAUUUACUUAAAAAGGCUAAGUAACAAAACAGAGUACAAUAGAACUGAUAAAUAUAUCUUAGGACUGAUCAAGCAGAAACCGUGGAAGAGACAGACAUAGGUAAAUG
Non-coding RNA from Cyanistes caeruleus (blue tit), 2789 nucleotides. Lineage: Eukaryota; Metazoa; Chordata; Aves; Passeriformes; Paridae. The record is from RefSeq and is a predicted model, not a curated record.